This 2851-nucleotide long non-coding RNA is filed under the name Citrus x clementina. RNAcentral describes it as "Citrus clementina (C. clementina) long non-coding RNA (CCLE_LNC006245)". The record is from RNAcentral. Lineage: Eukaryota; Viridiplantae; Streptophyta; Magnoliopsida; Sapindales; Rutaceae.
UCCGUGUGCCAAAAAUAGGCCGCGGGCAAAGCCGCGCCCAAAAAUAACCGCCCGAAGGCCGGGGCGCCAAGUUCGUCCAGCGGAAAGAGGCCACAAAAACGGGUGGGCUAUAGCCUUGGGGGGUGGGGCUGGCCCACUUCAUCCGCCGGACUCGGAAUGCCGCGAGGGUUUGCGAGGGGCCUCCGUGUGCCAAAAAUAGGCCGCGGGCAAAGGCGCGCCCAAAUAUAACCGCCCGAAGGCCGGGGCGCCAAGUUCGUUCAGCGGAAAAAGCCCACAAAAACGGGUGGGCUAUAGCCUUGGUGGGCGGGGCUGCCCACUUCGUCCGCCGGACAACUUCGUCCGCCGGGCUCGGAAUGCCGUGAGACUUUGCGAGGGGCCUCCGUGCGCCAAAAAUAGUCCGCGGGCAAAGCCGCGCCCAAAAAUAACCGCCCGAAGGCCGGGGCGCCAAGUUCGUCCAGCGUAAAAAGGCCACAAAAACGUGUGGGCUACAGCCUUGGGGGGUGGGGCUGGCCAACUUCGUCCGCCGGACUCGGAAUGCCGCGAGACUUUACGAGGGGCCUCCGUGUGCAAAAAAUAGGCCGCGGGCAUAGCCGCACCCAAAUAUAACCGCCCGAAGGCCGGGGCGCCAAGUUCGUCCAGCGGACAAAGGCCACAAAAACGGGUGGGCUAUAGCCUUCGGGGGUGGGGCUGGCCAACUUCGUCCGCCGGACUCGGAAUGCUGUGAGACUUUGCGAGGGGCCUCCGUGUGCCAAAAAUAGGCCGCGGGCAAAGCCGCGCCCAAAAAUAACCACCCGAAGGCCGGGGCGCCAAGUUCGUCCAGCGGAAAAAGGCCCCAAAAACGGGUGGGCUAUAGCCUUGGGGGGUGGGGCUGGCCCACUUCGUCCGCCGGACUCGGAAUGCCGCGAGACUUUUCGAGGGGUCUCUGUUGCCAAAAAUAGGCCGCGGGCAAAGCCGCGCCCGAAGGCCGGGGCGCCAAGUUCGUCCAUCGAAAAAAGGCCACAAAAACGGGUGGGCUAUAGCCUUGGGAGGUGGGGCAGGCCAACUUCGUCCCCCGGACUCAGAAUGCCGCGAGACUUUGCGAGGGGUCUCCGUGUGCCAAAAAUAGGCCGCGGCCAGAGCCGCGCCCAAAAAUAACCGCCCGAAGGCCGGGGCGCAAAGUUCGUCCAGCGGAAAAAGGCCACGAAAACGGGUGGGCUAUAGCCUUGGGGGGUGGGGCUGGCCAACUUCAUCCGCCGGACUCGGAAUGCCGCGAGACUUUGCGAGGGGCCUUCGUGUGCCAAAAAUAGGCCGCGGGUAAAGCCGCGCCCAAAAAUAACUGCCCGAAGGCCGGGCGCCAAGUUCGUCCAGCGGAAAAAGGCAACAAAAACGGGUGGGCUAUAGCCUUGGGGGGUGGGGCUGGCCAACUUCGUCCGCCGGACUCGGAAUGCCGCGAGACUUUGCGAGGGGCCUCCGUGUACCAAAAAUAGGCCGCGGGCAAACCCACGCCGAAAAAUAACCGCCCGAAGGACGGGGCGCCCAGUUCGUCCUGCGGAAAAAGGCCACAAAAACGGGUGGGCUUUAGCCUGGGGGGUGGGGCUGGCCGACUUUGUCCGCCGGACUCGGAAUGCCGCGAGACUUUGUGAGGGGCCUCCGUGUGCCAAACAUAGGCUGCGGGUAAAGCCACGCCCAAAAAUAACCGCCCGAAGGCCGGGGCGCCGAGUUCGUCCAGCGGAAAAAGGCCACAAAAACGGGUGGGCUAUAUCCUUGGGGGGUGGGGCUCGCCAACUUCAUCCGCUGGUCUCGGAAUGCCGCGAGACUUUGCGAGGGGUCUCCGUGUGCCAAAAAUAGGCCGCGGGCAAAGCCGCGCCCAAAAAUAACCGCCCGAAGGCCGGGGCGCCAAGUUCGUCCAGCGGAAAGAGGCCUCAAAAACGGGUGGGCUAUAGCCUUGGGGGGUGGGGCUGGCCCACUUCAUCCGCCGGACUCGGAAUGCCGCGAGGGUUUGCGAGGGGCCUCCGUGUGCCAAAAAUAGGCCGCGGGCAAAGGCGCGCCCAAAUAUAACCGCCCGAAGGCCGGGGCGCCAAGUUCGUUCAGCGGAAAAAGCCCACAAAAACGGGUGGGCUAUAGCCUUGGUGGGCGGGGCUGCCCACUUCGUCCGCCGGACAACUUCGUCCGCCGGGCUCGGAAUGCCGUGAGACUUUGCGAGGGGCCUCCGUGCGCCAAAAAUAGUCCGCGGGCAAAGCCGCGCCCAAAAAUAACCGCCCGAAGGGCGGGGCGCCAUGUUCGUCCAGCGGAAAAAGGCCACAAAAACGGGUGGGCUAUAGCCUUGGGGGGUGGGGCUGGCCAACUUCCUCCGCCGGACUCGGAAUGCCGCGAGACUUUGUGAGGUACCUCCGUGUGCCAAAAAUAGGCUGCGGGUAAAGCCGCGCCCAAAAAUAACCGCCCGAAGGCCGGGGCGCCGAGUUCGUCCAGCGGAAAAAGGCCACAAAAACGGGUGGGCUAUAGCCUUGGGGGGUGGGGCUGGCCAACUUCAUCCGCCGGACUCGGAAUGCCGCGAGACUUUGCGACGGGCCUCCGUGUGCCAAAAAUAGGCCGCGGACAAAGCCGCGCCCAAAAAUAACCGCCCGAAGGCCGGGGCGCCAAGUUCGUCCAGCGGAAAAAGGCCACAAAAACGGGUGGGCUAUAGCCUUGGGGGGUGGGGCUGGCCAACUUCGUCCGCCGGACUCGGAAUGCCGCGAGACUUUGCGAGGGGCCUCCGUGUGCCAAAAAUAGGCCGCGGGCUAAGCCGCGCCCAAAAAUAACCGCCCGAAGGCCGGGGCGCCAAGUUCGUCCAGCGGAAAAAGGCCACAAAAACGGGUGGGCUAUAGCCUUGGGG